This 277-nucleotide long non-coding RNA is filed under the name Actinidia chinensis (golden kiwifruit). RNAcentral describes it as "long non-coding RNA (ACHI_LNC000309)". The record is from RNAcentral. Lineage: Eukaryota; Viridiplantae; Streptophyta; Magnoliopsida; Ericales; Actinidiaceae.
GCUGAAGGUGAAUGGUCCAAAACAAACAGGUUGCAAUGAAAGGAAGAAUGGUUCAUUUCGUACGAGAAGAAUCGAACGGAAAACUAAAGGAGGUAAGCUUGUAUAUUCCUUGUAUGGGUUUUACAAUAAUGCAAUGACUAUGUUACAAGGGCUCGUGGAAAGGUAUCGGAUGCAAGGGUGGGUCCAAGCGUCAGAUAUAGCUAAACUUAAGGUUGUGUUUGGAUCCUGGAUUUGGUUGAGAGAAAAGGAAGAAAAUAAAAAGUUAGAUGAUCCAACC